AGCAACAGGGUCUUGCCAAGAUAAUUUUUGUUUUCCCAACCGAGAAGUGUCUUCUCCAACAUUUCUACACACCAAUAGCUUCACAUCAUCAUUGAGGUUUUGGAUUGGACUUCUCUUUGGCUCCUCGAGCUGCACCUGCUCAGAAUUUCCAUCUCUUUCCUCUUCUCCCAUCGAGAUCUCAUUCAAAUCAAAGACCGGAGCACGAGUGGGCAAUGCAGUUUCUUUGCCACUAUGACCAGCAUCCUGAUUUAAAUCAAAAGUUGGCGAGCUGCUCUGUAAGAUAGCAUUGUCUGCGAUGCACAAUCUCUCAUCCUGCUUCAAAUCAUAGGCUGGAGCUCCUUUUCGGGAUGACACAUCCUUUCCCCUAUAUACUCUUGAUUUACGGUUCAACUCUAAAUCUGCAUUGCGAAAAACAGAUUCUUG
This 423-nucleotide unclassified non-coding RNA is filed under the name Hevea brasiliensis (rubber tree). The record is from RNAcentral. Lineage: Eukaryota; Viridiplantae; Streptophyta; Magnoliopsida; Malpighiales; Euphorbiaceae.